Molecule: long non-coding RNA, 1424 nt
Organism: Sorghum bicolor (sorghum)
Lineage: Eukaryota; Viridiplantae; Streptophyta; Magnoliopsida; Poales; Poaceae
Exons: 8
Source: RefSeq, a predicted model, not a curated record
UCCUGAGCCUUCUGCAUCUCGACCCUUCUCCUCCUCGCUCGCUCGGUCUCCGUCUCCCUCUUGAUAUGGGCAGCGACGACAGCGCCCUUGCGGCACGCGCCCCCACGGUGGCCGUCCCCCGACUGCCACGGAGCGGCGCGACCGGACGCCACUGCUUGCCGUAGGCUCGGCUCCUCCCGGAGUGCCUCCUUCCGCCGGUGGGCGUGCGCUCGAUGAAACCCUACCUGCAUCUUCCUCGCCGCCACCGGCGGUGGCUCGGCUGCAUCUGGCGGUGCAUUCAAUCAGAUAGCAAGCAAAAAGUGAAAAAGAGUGGACAGGACCUACACAUUCUAAUAUGGGUCACACUGUGUACUACUAUGUCAUAAACUUUCUUCUUUUUCACUGAUCCGAUCUCAUGUUGCCAACUCCCAUCAAUUUUGGCAGAAAAAUGCAUGUGUACUCCUUAUUUUGAUUUCAUCUCUACAUUCUUACCUGUAUAGCUCUGUCUGUAUUAUCUUUAUUGAUGGAUAGUGGUGGCACCGUAAUAAAAAGAUUGUAUUCAAAGAUCUUAUUGCUCAAUCCCUUAGCUAUAUAUUUUACUUAGUUCUUUCCGCCAUCUUUGCUUGGAUGAUUGGCAAGGCGCUGAGGCUCGACGAAAUCAUAAGCUAGGUGCAGUCCCUGCAACGACAGGCCGAGUUCUCUUCAUGAAGUUUGAAGACCCCACUCGACUUCAGCAACCUGCCUACCCUCCUAUAAAAAGAUAUGUUCCAAGCCUAUGGCUCUUUGACAAGCUCGGUCUUCUCAUUGGAAAGCUCCAACUCAGGAUUUUGAUUCAGCGACCAAGGAGAUGUGUUCCAGUCGUCCGUUCCAAACGUCUUCGACAACCAACCUACCAAUAGGUAGUAUGCUUUUUAGGAUGGAACAGCUGGCACAAACUUGCAGCAAAGAAGCUACUACAAGGAGGCUCUCCAGAGCAUUGUACACAUCAACUCAAAGAGCAGAGCCACGACAAUAGGUUCUCAAUUUGAGCACAGAGCUUUCAUGAUAUGUCAGUUAGAAGGCCACAUGAAAAUGGAGUUCCGAUGGUCAGCAUAGACCAACCACGGAAUGCAUGGAUUCAGACUGAUUCAACAACAUGGUCGGACCUUCCACAGACACAGCUUUUGGGAUCACAGACAAGGAUAAUUGGGCGAUCACUACCGACCUUGAAAUGAACAUGUAUAAUUACUCUCGAUAUCACUAUGUACAUAAACCAAGACCUUACCCCCGAUGUAUAGAACCAUGAAGCAGUGAACACUACUACACCUCCUAUUAUUCAUCACCCGAUGUAUAAUUAGAACAGUGCUAAACCUGUGAACCCUAUCCGUAUAAUGUUGUGAUAACUUAUGUAAUAUUACAAUCACCAUCUACCAUACUUAGUAUCUUUCAACCGACAGUUCUCUCAA